UACGAAGGUCUCGAGCGUUGUUCGGAAUCACUGGGCGUAAAGGGAGCGUAGGCGGCGUGGUAAGUCAGAUGUGAAAUCCCGGGGCUCAACCCCGGAACUGCAUCCGAUACUGCCGUGCUAGAGUAAUGGAGGGGUAGCUGGAAUUCUCGGUGUAGCAGUGAAAUGCGUGGAGAUCGAGAGGAACACUCGUGGCGAAAGCGAGCUACUGGACAUUCACUGACGCUGAGGCUCGAAGGCCAGGGUAGCGAAAGGG
This 253-nucleotide ribosomal RNA is filed under the name uncultured bacterium. RNAcentral's name for it is "partial 16S ribosomal RNA". It matches the Rfam family "Bacterial small subunit ribosomal RNA", at positions 524 to 776 of the family's 1533-position model. The record is from RNAcentral.